This 253-nucleotide ribosomal RNA is filed under the name uncultured bacterium. Its description in RNAcentral is "partial 16S ribosomal RNA". It matches the Rfam family "Bacterial small subunit ribosomal RNA", at positions 524 to 776 of the family's 1533-position model. The record is from RNAcentral.
UACGGAGGGUGCAAGCGUUGCUCGGAAUCACUGGGCGUAAAGCGACCGCAGGCGGCCUGACAAGUCGGAUGUGAAAGCCCUGGGCUCAACUCAGGAAUUGCAUUCGAAACUGGCAGGCUCGAGUACGGGAGAGGGGGGUGGAAUUCCUGGUGUAGGGGGGAAAUUCGUUGAUAUCAGGAGGAACACCGGCGGCGAAGGCGGCCCCCUGGCCCGCAACUGACGCUCAUGGUCGAAAGCGUGGGGAGCAAACAGG